CCUCCGAGCAAGGCGGUCGCAUUCAGUCCAGUAUAUUUUAAAACAUUUUAUAUUGUAAACGUUAAUUUCGAUUUGUGUACAAAAUGUGAUUAUUUAAAUGUGAUUUUAAUUAUCUACAUGUUUUAAUAUCAGUUAUUUGAACGUCUCCGUAAACUUGUUCUAAUAAAUAAAUUCAGUUUUUAUUUUUAAUUACAUUUUUACAAUUUAACAGUAAAUAAGUGUUUUCAGAAGGCAAUUAGUGAUAAUAACUGAAGAAAAUAUUCAACAAUUUCAUACCAGUGGAGUGGAGUUAAAAAGGGAUAUCAAAUGAAAUGGUGUGCCAACUCAUCAAUCCGGAUAUCAGGUAUCAACAGUCGAAAAUGUGUUAUCUGGGACAUAGAAUAGUGAGGGGAAAUCGAUAUAUUACAACUGAUCCUUAAUGACAAAAUAGAGGGCCGUAGAGGUGUAGAAAUUAAACAUGUUUCUUGGUUAAAAAACAUUCGUGAAUGGACUCAGAUAUCAAAUGCAGGACCAUUAUUUCAUAUUGCAGAAGAUCGAGAAGCCUUCACAAUGGUGUUCGCCAACGUCGGAUAAUUCUGAUAUGGCAGGUGAAGAAGAAAAUCAACAGUGGAUCUUCUCAACAAACCAGACACUUUUUGACUGUUAACCAUUUGACAUUCAUUAAAUUGUUAAUUUCUCAUAGCCUACUUCAGGCUUGUUUAUUAAACUAAGCAGAAAAUUAGGAUUUAUUGAUGAAAACCAUCGCUAGUUGUUAACGUACCUAACUUUUUUAUUAUCCAACAUAAGCAAAUGAAUUAAAAAAGAAAAUGUUAAUAAAGCGUAAGACUAUAAUUAAGUUUUAA
Molecule: long non-coding RNA, 842 nt
Organism: Diabrotica virgifera virgifera (western corn rootworm)
Lineage: Eukaryota; Metazoa; Arthropoda; Insecta; Coleoptera; Chrysomelidae
Exons: 2
Source: RefSeq, a predicted model, not a curated record